AGAGUUUGAUCCUGGCUCAGAAUCAACGCUGGCGGCGUGCCUAACACAUGCAAGUCGAACGAGAAAGUGGAGCAAUCCAUGAGUACAGUGGCGACCGGGUGAGUAACACGUGACCAACCUGCCCUCGAGUGGGGAAUAACUCCGGGAAACCGGAGCUAAUACCGCAUAACAUCUUCGGAAUGCGAAUUCUGUGGAUCAAAGGAGCAAUCCGCUUGAGGAGGGGGUCGCGGCUGAUUAGCUAGUUGGUAGGGUAACGGCCUACCAAGGCGGAGAUCGGUAUCCGGCCUGAGAGGGCGCACGGACACACUGGAACUGAAACACGGUCCAGACUCCUACGGGAGGCAGCAGUGGGGAAUUUUGCGCAAUGGGGGAAACCCUGACGCAGCAACGCCGCGUGGAGGAUGAAGUCCCUUGGGACGUAAACUCCUUUCGACCCGGAAGAUACUGACGGUACGGGUGGAAGAAGCACCGGCUAACUCUGUGCCAGCAGCCGCGGUAAUACAGAGGGUGCGAGCGUUGUUCGGAAUUAUUGGGCGUAAAGGGCGCGUAGGCGGUGCGGUAAGUCACCUGUGAAAUCUCCU
RNAcentral lists this ribosomal RNA (581 nucleotides) under uncultured bacterium. RNAcentral's name for it is "bacterial SSU rRNA". It matches the Rfam family "Bacterial small subunit ribosomal RNA", at positions 8 to 605 of the family's 1533-position model. The record is from RNAcentral.